Molecule: ribosomal RNA, 334 nt
Filed under: uncultured Desulfobacterium sp.
Lineage: Bacteria; Pseudomonadati; Thermodesulfobacteriota; Desulfobacteria; Desulfobacterales; Desulfobacteriaceae
Description: bacterial SSU rRNA
Rfam family: Bacterial small subunit ribosomal RNA
Source: RNAcentral
UUGUCGUCAGCUCGUGUCGUGAGAUGUUGGGUUAAGUCCCGCAACGAGCGCAACCCCCUAUCUCUAGUUGCCAGCGAUUCGGUCGGGGACUCUAGAGAUACUGCCCCGGUUAACGGGGAGGAAGGUGGGGAUGACGUCAAGUCCUCAUGGCCCUUAUGCCCAGGGCUACACACGUGCUACAAUGGGCGGUACAAAGGGUAGCGAUGCCGCGAGGCGAAGCCAAUCCCAAAAAGCCGUCCUCAGUUCGGAUUGGAGUCUGCAACUCGACUCCAUGAAGCCGGAAUCGCUAGUAAUCGCGGAUCAGCAUGCCGCGGUGAAUACGUUCCCGGGCCUU